RNAcentral lists this transfer RNA (64 nucleotides) under Gastrocopta cristata. Its description in RNAcentral is "tRNA-His". The record is from RNAcentral. Lineage: Eukaryota; Metazoa; Mollusca; Gastropoda; Stylommatophora; Pupillidae.
AAACUCUAAGGUUUAAACUGCUUAUUUGUGGUGUAAGAGAUCCGCCCAAACGACGGAGAGUUUC